UACGAACCGUCCAAACGUUAUUCGGAAUUAUUGGGCUUAAAGGGUCCGUAGGCGGCGCGGCAAGUUGGGUGUGAAAUCCCUCGCCUCAACCGAGGAACUGCGCUCAAAACUGCCGUGCUCGAGGGAGACAGAGGUGAGCGGAACUUAGGGUGGAGCGGUGAAAUGCGUUGAUAUCCUAAGGAACACCGGUGGCGAAAGCGGCUCACUGGGUCUCUUCUGACGCUGAGGCACGAAAGCUAGGGUAGCGAACGGG
RNAcentral lists this ribosomal RNA (253 nucleotides) under uncultured bacterium. RNAcentral's name for it is "partial 16S ribosomal RNA". It matches the Rfam family "Bacterial small subunit ribosomal RNA", at positions 524 to 776 of the family's 1533-position model. The record is from RNAcentral.